UACGUAGGGUGCAAGCGUUGAUCGGAAUUACUGGGCGUAAAGCGUGCGCAGGCGGCUUUGCAAGACAGAUGUGAAAUCCCCGGGCUCAACCUGGGAACUGCAUUUGUGACUGCAUGGCUAGAGUACGGUAGAGGGGGAUGGAAUUCCGCGUGUAGCAGUGAAAUGCGUAGAGAUCCGGAGGAACACCAGUGGCGAAGGCGACACGCUGGGCCGUACCUGACACUGAGGCGCGAUAGCAUGGGGAGCAAACAGG
This 253-nucleotide ribosomal RNA is filed under the name uncultured bacterium. Its description in RNAcentral is "partial 16S ribosomal RNA". It matches the Rfam family "Bacterial small subunit ribosomal RNA", at positions 524 to 776 of the family's 1533-position model. The record is from RNAcentral.